GGGCCUGUAGCUCAGGGGUUAGAGCAGCCGGCUCAUAACCGGCCGGUCCUAGGUUCGAAUCCUAGUGGGCCCACCA
RNAcentral lists this transfer RNA (76 nucleotides) under Candidatus Poribacteria bacterium. RNAcentral describes it as "tRNA-Ile". It matches the Rfam family "tRNA". From Rfam's summary of the family: Transfer RNA (tRNA) molecules are approximately 80 nucleotides in length. Their secondary structure includes four short double-helical elements and three loops (D, anti-codon, and T loops). The record is from RNAcentral. Lineage: Bacteria; Candidatus Poribacteria.